Molecule: ribosomal RNA, 482 nt
Filed under: uncultured bacterium
Lineage: Bacteria
Description: bacterial SSU rRNA
Rfam family: Bacterial small subunit ribosomal RNA
Source: RNAcentral
GACGAACGCUGGCGGCGUGCUUAAUACAUGCAAGUCAACUGAACUUGAAGUAGCAAUAUUUCAAGGGAGGUGGCGCACGGGUGAGUAACACGUAGGUAAUCUGCCUUUAGGUCUGACAUAAUUCCGCGAAAGCGGGACUAACUUCAGAUGAUGCAGCGGCUCGACAUCGAGACAGUUGUUAAAUCUUCGGAGCCUAAAGAUGAGCCUGCGUCUGAUUAGGUAGUUGGCGGAGUAAUGGCCCACCAAGCCAUCGAUCAGUAGCUGGUCUGAGGGGAUGAUCAGCCACACUGGAACUGAGACACGGUCCAGACUCCUACGGGAGGCAGCAGUAAGGAAUAUUGCUCAAUGGCCGAAAGGCUGAAGCAGCAACGCCGCGUGGAGGACGAAAUACUUUUGUAUGUAAACUCCUGUAAGAAGGGAAAAUAUUCCGAUUUAUCGGGAUUGAUUGUACCUUCAGAGUAAGCCCCGGCUAACUACGUGCC